Non-coding RNA from Ornithorhynchus anatinus (platypus), 138 nucleotides. NCBI's taxonomy places the organism in Eukaryota, Metazoa, Chordata, Mammalia, Monotremata, Ornithorhynchidae. The record is from Rfam.
ACCCUCUCAAGGUUGUACCUGGAGAGUUUCUAGGGCUCUACCAGUGUCGGCUAUGGGAAGGAGAGUCAAGCAGAGUCUUACCCAUUCCAUUCUUAGCUUAGGCAGUGGUUAGUGAGUGGAAGGCAAUCUGUUACAAGU